Molecule: transfer RNA, 98 nt
Filed under: Bradyrhizobium sp.
Lineage: Bacteria; Pseudomonadati; Pseudomonadota; Alphaproteobacteria; Hyphomicrobiales; Nitrobacteraceae
Description: tRNA-Ser
Source: RNAcentral
GCGGGAGUAUGGCAACGUGUCCCGACGCGCCGCAGAAAAGCUUCGAAUUCAGACUACGAAUCUGAGGGUCGGACGUUCGAAUCGUUCCGGGCGCGCCA